GACGAACGCUGGCGGCGUGCUUAACACAUGCAAGUCGAACGGAAAGGCCCUGCUUUUGUUGGGUGCUCGAGUGGCGAACGGGUGAGUAACACGUGAGUAACCUGCCCUUGACUUUGGGAUAACUUCAGGAAACUGGGGCUAAUAUCGGAUAGGAGCUCCUGCUGCAUGGUGGUGGUUGGAAAGUUUCGGCGGUUGGGGAUGGACUCGCGGCUUAUCAGCUUGUUGGUGGGGUUGUGGCUUACCAAGGCUUUGACGGGUAGCCGGCCUGAGAGGGUGACCGGCCACAUUGGGACUGAGAUACGGACCAGACUCCUACGGGAGGCAGCAGUGGGGAAUAUUGCACAAUGGGCGGAAGCCUGAUGCAGCAACGCCGCGUGCGGGAUGACGGCCUUCGGGUUGUAAACCGAUUUCGCCUGUGACGAAGCGUGAGUGACGGUAAUGGGUAAAGAAGCACCGGCUAACUACGUG
Molecule: ribosomal RNA, 468 nt
Filed under: uncultured bacterium
Lineage: Bacteria
Description: partial 16S ribosomal RNA
Rfam family: Bacterial small subunit ribosomal RNA
Source: RNAcentral